Molecule: long non-coding RNA, 654 nt
Organism: Prionailurus viverrinus (fishing cat)
Lineage: Eukaryota; Metazoa; Chordata; Mammalia; Carnivora; Felidae
Exons: 3
Source: RefSeq, a predicted model, not a curated record
CUGAUUCUGUGUCUCCUCCCUCUCUCUCUGCCCCUCCCCUGCUCGUGCUCUGUCUCUCUCAAAAAUGAAUAAACAUUAAAAAAAUUUUAAAAAUAAAAAGAGAUUGCAGACAUGAUAGAGUGUCUAGAAGAGACUAUGUCGGGCAGAAUUGACCUUAACAAAAGUUAGGUCUUUACUCUUCAAAUAUAUUGGUUCUCAAACCUAACAUGCACAGAAUAACCUGAUGAGCUUGUUUAACAUGCACUGUCCCAAACUUUUCUUCCAAGGCCCAGGAGUAUUCACCUCUGUCACACAUCUCAGAACACCCUGAUUGAUGACACACAGACCAGCAUAUUUUGAGAAACAUGCCUUCAGAUUCUUGAUUUCCAUCGCUUCAUUCUGCCCUUUACUUGAGAACCGAUAGGAUCCUUCAUGAAGCAACCAGGUGAUUUUUUCUACAAGAACUCCUUACCAUAAGAGGUAUAUGACCUCCUUCUAUUCUGUUGGCAGCAUCCAUUUGCCUCAGGUCUGGGGAGCAACAGCAAGACAAAUGUAUGCCAAGAUUUCCCCUCUAAUGAGAGAAUUACUGGGGAGGAUGACAUCUCCUGGGCUGCAAGGAGAGAUUUUGGAGAUUUCUUGUGCUUUUUCAGGCUCAAUAAAUCAUUCCUCAGAUUA